This 604-nucleotide ribosomal RNA is filed under the name uncultured bacterium. Its description in RNAcentral is "bacterial SSU rRNA". It matches the Rfam family "Bacterial small subunit ribosomal RNA", at positions 202 to 806 of the family's 1533-position model. The record is from RNAcentral.
UAAAGAUUCAUCGCUGAUAGAUAGGCAUGCGUUCCAUUAGGCAGUUGGCGGGGUAACGGCCCACCAAACCGACGAUGGAUAGGGGUUCUGAGAGGAAGGUCCCCCACAUUGGUACUGAGACACGGACCAAACUCCUACGGGAGGCAGCAGUGAGGAAUAUUGGUCAAUGGGCGUAAGCCUGAACCAGCCAAGUCGCGUGAGGGAUGAAGGUUCUAUGGAUCGUAAACCUCUUUUAUAAGGGAAUAAAGUGCGGGACGUGUCCCGUUUUGUAUGUACCUUAUGAAUAAGGAUCGGCUAACCCCGUGCCAGCAGCCGCGGUAAUACGGAGGAUCCGAGCGUUAUCCGGAUUUAUUGGGUUUAAAGGGUGCGUAGGCGGCCUUUUAAGUCAGCGGUGAAAGUCUGUGGCUCAACCAUAGAAUUGCCGUUGAAACUGGGAGGCUUGAGUAUGUUUGAGGCAGGCGGAAUGCGUGGUGUAGCGGUGAAAUGCUUAGAUAUCACGCAGAACCCCGAUUGCGAAGGCAGCCUGCCAAGCCAUGACUGACGCUGAUGCACGAAAGCGUGGGGAUCAAACAGGAUUAGAUACCCUGGUAGUCCACGCAGUAAA